Molecule: ribosomal RNA, 116 nt
Filed under: uncultured bacterium
Lineage: Bacteria
Description: partial 16S ribosomal RNA
Rfam family: Bacterial small subunit ribosomal RNA
Source: RNAcentral
CGCGGUGAAUACGUUCCCGGGUCUUGUACACACCGCCCGUCAAGCCAUGGAAGCUGGGUGUACCUAAAGUCGGUAACCGUAAGGAGCCGCCUAGGGUAAAACUAGUGACUGGGGCU